RNAcentral lists this ribosomal RNA (1347 nucleotides) under uncultured bacterium. Its description in RNAcentral is "partial 16S ribosomal RNA". It matches the Rfam family "Bacterial small subunit ribosomal RNA", at positions 28 to 1382 of the family's 1533-position model. The record is from RNAcentral.
GACGAACGCUGGCGGCGUGCUUAACACAUGCAAGUCGAACGGAAAGGCCCUGCUUUUGUGGGGUGCUCGAGUGGCGAACGGGUGAGUAACACGUGAGUAACCUGCCCUUGACUUUGGGAUAACUUCAGGAAACUGGGGCUAAUACCGGAUAGGAGCUCCUGCUGCAUGGUGGGGGUUGGAAAGUUUCGGCGGUUGGGGAUGGACUCGCGGCUUAUCAGCUUGUUGGUGGGGUAGUGGCUUACCAAGGCUUUGACGGGUAGCCGGCCUGAGAGGGUGACCGGCCACAUUGGGACUGAGAUACGGCCCAGACUCCUACGGGAGGCAGCAGUGGGGAAUAUUGCACAAUGGGCGGAAGCCUGAUGCAGCAACGCCGCGUGCGGGAUGACGGCCUUCGGGUUGUAAACCGCUUUCGCCUGUGACGAAGCGUGAGUGACGGUAAUGGGUAAAGAAGCACCGGCUAACUACGUGCCAGCAGCCGCGGUGAUACGUAGGGUGCGAGCGUUGUCCGGAUUUAUUGGGCGUAAAGGGCUCGUAGGUGGUUGAUCGCGUCGGAAGUGUAAUCUUGGGGCUUAACCCUGAGCGUGCUUUCGAUACGGGUUGACUUGAGGAAGGUAGGGGAGAAUGGAAUUCCUGGUGGAGCGGUGGAAUGCGCAGAUAUCAGGAGGAACACCAGUGGCGAAGGCGGUUCUCUGGGCCUUUCCUGACGCUGAGGAGCGAAAGCGUGGGGAGCGAACAGGCUUAGAUACCUUGGUAGUCCACGCUGUAAACGGUGGGUACUAGGUGUGGGGUCCAUUCCACGGGUUCCGUGCCGUAGCUAACGCUUUAAGUACCCCGCCUGGGGAGUACGGCCGCAAGGCUAAAACUCAAAGGAAUUGACGGGGCCCCGCACAAGCGGCGGAGCAUGCGGAUUAAUUCGAUGCAACGCGUAGAACCUUACCUGGGUUUGACAUGGAUCGGGAGUGCUCAGAGAUGGGUGUGCCUCUUUUGGGGUCGGUUCACAGGUGGUGCAUGGCUGUCGUCAGCUCGUGUCGUGAGAUGUUGGGUUAAGUCCCGCAACGAGCGCAACCCUUGUUCACUGUUGCCAGCACGUUAUGGUGGGGACUCAGUGGAGACCGCCGGGGUCAACUCGGAGGAAGGUGGGGAUGACGUCAAGUCAUCAUGCCCCUUAUGUCCAGGGCUUCACGCAUGCUACAAUGGCUGGUACAGAGAGUGGCGAGCCUGUGAGGGUGAGCGAAUCUCGGAAAGUCGGUCUCAGUUCGGAUUGGGGUCUGCAACUCGACCUCAUGAAGUCGGAGUCGCUAGUAAUCGCAGAUCAGCAACGCUGCGGUGAAUACGUUCCCGGGGGCU